AUGGAUGCUUGCGACAAACUGAAUGUGCGGUUUAAUUUCGGUGGGCAAUUUGUUCGAAUUGGACCUACUUUAGACUAUGUUGGUGGAGAUGAUGCAAUGUCAGAGAUUGAAAGGGAUAAAUUAUCUUUGCCAGAGAUCAAAGGAUUUCUUGGUGAUCACAUACCUUUCAAAGAAAGUAUGAAGCUUUACUUCCUGAUCCCUGGUAAAAAACUAGUGGAUGGCCUAUUAUUUUUGUGUGAUGAUGCUGGCUGUAUGAAGAUGUCUGAAUACAUAACUGAUGGAGGAGUGGCUGAGGUCUAUGUGGAGUACUUUGGGGAGCAAGAUGAUCAAAGUGCAAGUGACAGUGGUAGUGAUUUUGAAAAUGAGAUGGGCAAUGAGUUAUAUGGAGGGAGUGAUACAGAACCAGAUGCAGUCAUAACUGCAGAGGAAGAUGAAAGUGUGCUUGUACCAAAUGAUAGUGGUGUUAUAACCCAGGUUAUUAGCAGCCCUACAAAGCAC
Molecule: ribosomal RNA, 498 nt
Filed under: Triticum aestivum (bread wheat)
Lineage: Eukaryota; Viridiplantae; Streptophyta; Magnoliopsida; Poales; Poaceae
Description: partial small subunit ribosomal RNA
Source: RNAcentral